UUGAUAAGGGCCGCCGGGUGAGUGGCGGAGAGAACAAGUAGAUCGUAAAGACGCCGUCAAUCCCUCCCUGGAGGCUCGAGCCGCGCCAUCCUUGGCGCGGACGCUUU
RNAcentral lists this non-coding RNA (107 nucleotides) under Yersinia bercovieri. Its description in RNAcentral is "Yersinia sRNA 224". It matches the Rfam family "Yersinia sRNA 224". Lineage: Bacteria; Pseudomonadati; Pseudomonadota; Gammaproteobacteria; Enterobacterales; Yersiniaceae. The record is from RNAcentral.